RNAcentral lists this long non-coding RNA (1307 nucleotides) under Gallus gallus (chicken). Lineage: Eukaryota; Metazoa; Chordata; Aves; Galliformes; Phasianidae. The record is from RNAcentral.
UUUCAAUCCUCAGUUUUAUAUGAAAGAAGACUUAUUUUAAAGGGCAAAAAUAAAAAAAAAAUAAAAAUCAAAAACUCAAACCAACCAAUCAGAAACCCCCAACCAAAUGAGCUCUUGUUUAUCUCCAAAGCUUUACAGGCUUCUGUGCAAUUUAUUUGUAAAUUUCUGUCACUCAAAACCAGUGAAGCUCAAUAUCAGAUCCAUAAGCAUCUCAUACAGACCUGCAGCAGUCCUCCUUUCAAAUCAAUGUACAUUUUUGGAAUAGAUUGCUCUGGGCCAGGAUCACCGCUGUGCUUACACCACUUGGCUUCCACUGUAACCGAGCAGCAAAACGGGCCGAUCAGAGACCUGGUUCUUUCUUUGAGACAUGUUUUAAGCAGGAAAUCUUUUAUGUCCAGGACAAGACAUGAUCCAUGGAUUCCUGAAAAGAGAGACAGAGACUUUAUCCUGCUGGUAGUGUCUCCAAAUUUUCGUGAUUGUUGUCUGGAUUCGCUUCAGGUUGAGACUGUGAAUGCAAACCAGUAAGAAAUUUCUCAUACAAGCACUCCCACAACAUCCAUGGAAUUAUCUGUGUGGACAACUGCUCUCCCGUCCAAGCAAGAGAAUCACAGUUGGACAAGAAAACGUGGGACUUUUUGUUCAGCUUGCUCAUCCAGCAUUAUUGCAUAUACUUUAUGCAGUGUUGCAGUUAUGGAGCAGCCAUCUCCAGUGAUAAUCAAGAACGCCAGCACUCCAUGAUGCCACUCCUUUUGGUCUGAGUUUGGACUUUAUUCUGCAAAACUGGAUUGCGAUAUGAUUGGAAAAGCGUGGGAAUGCAGUCACCGCUCCUGCCUGCACCGCUGUUUAUUUAUGGAUAAAUCAGGAGUUUCAGGCUCCAGCACUUUCACAGGCUUUCAUGUCCUCUGAACCUUAAAUUUUUCAUUUUUAACUUUUAAAACAAUAAAGAAGCACUGAAACUUGCUGGCCUGAGGAGAAAUAUUUCUGAUGAAAGAGAAAUAAAUCACCAUCCAGCUUGGCCUAGAACUCGCUGCUCUCAGCUACGGGCCGUUUUAUCGCUUGAGCAGCUCUGCCAAAUACCAACAUCUGGCUCACCUCCAGAUCAUGCAAAUGUAGCAUCCUGUUAAUGAUACUAAAAGACUAAUAAAACAAUUUAUGAAGAUAUUCAAAAUGUCUUCAUUUUAAACGAUUAUCUGGCAUUCACAUUAUUGGAACAAUGAAAGCAGCCGUUGGGACUGGCACCUUCAUUUUCUCUGUGAGCCUCUCAGCUGUGCAGAGGAAAUAUGUAACAAUAUAAAACUUUAUAAGCC